AGAGUUUGAUCAUGGCUCAGGAUGAACGCUAGCUACAGGCUUAACACAUGCAAGUCGAGCGGUAUGUGCUUUAGUGCAUACAGCGGCAGACGGGUGAGUAACACGUAUCUAACCUUCCCCUUACUUGGGCAUAGCCUCUGGAAACGGAGAUUAAUUUCCGAUGUGGUGUACAUUUCGCAUGUUUUGCGCACCAAAGAUUUAUCGGUAAGGGAUGGGGAUGCGCUCCAUUAGGUUGUAGGUAGGGUAAUGGCCUACCUAGCCUAUGAUGGAUAGGGGUUCUGAGAGGAAGGUCCCCCACAUUGGAACUGCGACACGGUCCAAACUCCUACGGGAGGCAGCAGUGAGGAAUAUUGGUCAAUGGCCGGAAGGCUGAACCAGCCAAGUAGCGUGCAGGAUGACUGCCUUAUGGGUUGUAAACUGCUUUUUUACGGGAAUAAUUAUGAUCACGUGUGAUUAUUUGCAUGUACCGUAAGAAUAAGGAUCGGCUAACUCCGUGCCAGCAGCCGCGGUAAUACGGAGGAUCCGAGCGUUAUCCGGAAUUAUUGGGUUUAAAGGGUGCGUAGGCGGCCAUUUAAGUCAGCGGUGAAAUUUUGCAGCUUAACUGUAACAGUGCCGUUGAUACUGUUUGGCUAGGAUUUGGUUGUAGUGUGCGGAAUGUGUGGUGUAGCGGUGAAAUGCUUAGAUAUCACACAGAACACCGAUUGCGAAGGCAGCACACUAAGUCAUUAUUGACGCUGAGGCACGAAAGUGUGGGGAUCAAAAAAUCACUAGUGCGGCCGCCUGCAGGUCGACCAUAUGGGAGAGCUCCCAACGCGUG
Molecule: ribosomal RNA, 817 nt
Filed under: uncultured bacterium
Lineage: Bacteria
Description: bacterial SSU rRNA
Rfam family: Bacterial small subunit ribosomal RNA
Source: RNAcentral